Molecule: long non-coding RNA, 1644 nt
Organism: Bos taurus (domestic cattle)
Lineage: Eukaryota; Metazoa; Chordata; Mammalia; Artiodactyla; Bovidae
Source: Ensembl
GGUUGGCCCACUGCACUCGCAGAGUCCACUUUAUCUGCCCUUUGCUCUUACUAAACUCACUCCCUUCUGAAAUGCUCUGUCUAGAAAUUCUUUUCCAACCCACACUCUGGCUGUCUCAACAGAGAAGACGACACACCUCAGCCGGUUCGUCCCGUAAACAACCUGCUCCAGAGGGCGGGCGCGUGCCCAGCUCACACGUGGAGCCUAACCCUGGGUGGGGAAAGCAGGCCUCAGGGCAGUAACACAAGAGACAGUGGAGCCAAUUACUGGGCUAAGGAAGCCAAGACACCCCCAGCACCUGUGAAACUGGCAUCCAGACCACAGUAAGAAGGUUAUUUUGAGGCACCAGCCUGCCAUCUUCUCAGUCGGCCAGCUCCCCAGUUAGAGUCUCUUCCUUGCCUCAACACCUCGUCUCUCGGAUUCAUUGACCUGACCUGCAGCAAGCAGAAGGAGCUUGGACUCGGUAACAAUCUUUCCAGAACGAAAGCCAUGGUACAAUACACAAAAGCCAAUGGAUCCAGCUACUGGGUUGCCAGACAGCCAGACCCAAUCCCCUGCUACCUGACACCAGCCCGUGACCCUGCAAGACCAACUCCAGAGGAGGAAGAACACAAGAUCCUUACGCCACUGAUUUUCAUCACUGCCCUCUGACCACGCGCCCUCAUCUGUAUGAUCCCCCAGACUCCUCAUGGAGGGGGCUCCAGCUCCUGAGGACACGUGCCUGCUGAGUCUCCCCUCUGCUGGCUGGGGACUAAAGCCACCUUUCCGUCUCCUCCAAACUCUGUCUCUGUAUUUUUCGUUUGGCUUCGGUGCACAGACAAGGCCAAGAUGUUGGUGGCAUCACACUCAUCACUAGAUGAUGCUGAGAGCAAAGCUUUGGUGCCAGGAGACCAGCUGCACACCGAGUGUUCACACUGCAUACGUGUGACCAACUUGAGAAGCCUCACGGCUGCAUGGCCGCGCCUUCGGGUCAUUUCACUGCCGCACCACACCCUUGGCCUGUACAGAGCUCAUACACAUUUAAGUCGACUCCCAGGACCCUUGGAGUUGACGUUUUCUCUGAAAACAAUUGAAAAAUGAGCAUGUUGCCGUGGGUUGCUGCGAGCACCAGGGCCUGGUGCACCCAGCUGGGCUGCCAGGCAGGCCUGCAGGGAAGGCAUGUUCCCCUCCGGCUGAUUCCGAGCUGUCAGCAGACACGUGACUCCUGCUCACACGCCCCGGGCGGGAAGUCCUGCCUGCUGUGGGCCGGCCCUGAGGUCUGGGAAGGGGUGGCUCCUGUGCGUCCACCGCUGCGGACAGGGAGGGCGGCGGUGAUUUCUGCUGCUUCAGAAAGUGGGGCCCUUUGCAGUCUGCCCGGGAGGGGAGGCCCGAUUCUGCUUGUUGUCCUGCACCCCUCCUCUGGGGACGGCAGGAAGCCCGGCCUCUCCCCUUUUCUGGCCUUGGUGGGCUUCCUUUGCAGACAGCUCCCUUUGUUUGGAGUUCGAGGCAGAAGGAGAGGAAAAGGUCAAGUGGCUGUGAGCAGAAAGGGUUGCAGUGAGAAGCAGAAAAAGAGGAAGGAGCUUUUCUCUUUCCUGAGAGCAAAGAUGAUAAAGAGAGCACUGCACAGGCCUGAACAUGUCUAGUUUUUUUUUUUUUUUUUCCUUU